CCUACGGGGGGCUGCAGUGAGGAAUAUUGGUCAAUGGGCGCGAGCCUGAACCAGCCAAGUAGCGUGAAGGAUGACUGCCCUACGGGUUGUAAACUUCUUUUAUAAAGGAAUAAAGUGAGGCACGUGUGCCUUUUUGUAUGUACUUUAUGAAUAAGGAUCGGCUAACUCCGUGCCAGCAGCCGCGGUAAUACGGAGGAUCCGAGCGUUAUCCGGAUUUAUUGGGUUUAAAGGGUGCGUAGGUGGUUGUUUAAGUCAGUUGUGAAAGUUUGGGGCUGAACCGGAAAAUUGCAAUUGAUACUGGCAGCCUUGAGUACAGUAGAGGUAGGCGGAAUGCGUGGUGUAGCGGUGAAAUGCUUAGAUAUCACGAAGAACUCCGAUUGCGAAGGCAGCUUACUAAACUGCCACUGACAUUGAUGCUCGAAAGUGUGGGUAUCAAACAGGAUUAGAUACCCCUGUAGUC
This 460-nucleotide ribosomal RNA is filed under the name uncultured bacterium. RNAcentral's name for it is "partial 16S ribosomal RNA". It matches the Rfam family "Bacterial small subunit ribosomal RNA", at positions 338 to 795 of the family's 1533-position model. The record is from RNAcentral.